Molecule: small nucleolar RNA, 170 nt
Organism: Protopterus annectens (West African lungfish)
Lineage: Eukaryota; Metazoa; Chordata; Ceratodontiformes; Protopteridae
Product: small nucleolar RNA SNORA81
Exons: 1
Source: RefSeq, a predicted model, not a curated record
UCCUUCCUGUUAAAAGCACAUGGCUAAAAUUGCAGAACUUUGUUUUCAAUAUCCAGCACUAAUGGCUGGCUCUGGUAUUCUCAGGAAAGAAAAUAAAAUGCACACUCUUCAUGAGAUCAGGCUGGACCUCUUUCUUGAUGACCUCUGUUCUGUUUCAUGGUGUAGUGAAA